This 246-nucleotide ribosomal RNA is filed under the name uncultured bacterium. Its description in RNAcentral is "partial 16S ribosomal RNA". It matches the Rfam family "Bacterial small subunit ribosomal RNA", at positions 87 to 334 of the family's 1533-position model. The record is from RNAcentral.
UCCGGCGACCGGCGCACGGGUGAGUAACACGUAUGCAACCUACCUUUAACAGGGGGAUAACACUGAGAAAUUGGUACUAAUACCCCAUAAUAUCAUAGAAGGCAUCUUUUAUGGUUGAAAAUUCCGAUGGUUAGAGAUGGGCAUGCGUUGUAUUAGCUAGUUGGUGGGGUAACGGCUCACCAAGGCGACGAUACAUAGGGGGACUGAGACGGUUAACCCCCACACUGGUACUGAGACACGGUCCAA